UCAACUCAAAAAUUAGUCGAGUCAGCUCGAAGACUAGUCGAGUCGACUCGAAGUCAGUUCGAGUCGACUUGUGAAGCUUUAACAACCAUAAUGGCUAGUUCUACAACAGCCCAGAUUUUAUCCAGAAUUUUUUUCAAUGGCUAUAUUUCAUCUCUAAUGGGCAAAAAUGACUAUUUCUAGCUUCAAACUGUAUCAAACUUACUGAAAAUCAAAGGAUAAUAUAUAAGACACAAAGGGAC
Molecule: long non-coding RNA, 239 nt
Filed under: Elaeis guineensis (African oil palm)
Lineage: Eukaryota; Viridiplantae; Streptophyta; Magnoliopsida; Arecales; Arecaceae
Description: long non-coding RNA (EGUI_LNC022027)
Source: RNAcentral